CACUGGCCGGCGCGUCCUUCCACCCGGAGACCGCGCCUACUCUUAACUGAGCGGGCGCGGGAGACGGGUCUUUUACUUUGAAAAAAUCAGAGUGUUUCAAGCAGGCAGUCGCUCUUGCAUGGAUUAGCAUGGGAUAAUGAAAUAGGACUCUGGUGCUAUUUUGUUGGUUUCGAACACCGGAGUAAUGAUUAACAGGGACAGUCAGGGGCACUCGUAUUCCGCCGAGAGAGGUGAAAUUCUCAGACCAGCGGAAGACGAACCACUGCGAAAGCAUUUGCCAGGGAUGUUUUCACUGAUCAAGAACGAAAGUUAGGGGAUCGAAGACGAUCAGAUACCGUCGUAGUCUUAACCAUAAACCAUGCCGACUAGGGAUUGGAGGAUGUUCCAUUUGUGACUCCUUCAGCACCUUUCGGGAAACUAAAGUCUUUGGGUUCCGGGGGGAGUAUGGUCGCAAGGCUGAAACUUAAAGGAAUUGACGGAAGGGCACCACCAGGAGUGGAGCCUGCGGCUUAAUUUGACUCAACACGGGGAAACUUACCAGGUCCAGACAUUGUGAGGAUUGACAGAUUGAGAGCUCUUUCUUGAUUCGAUGGGUGGUGGUGCAUGGCCGUUCUUAGUUGGUGGAGUGAUUUGUCUGGUUAAUUCCGUUAACGAACGAGACCGCAGCCUGCUAAAUAGCGACGCGAACCCUCCGUUCGCUGGAGCUUCUUAGAGGGACAACUUGUCUUCAACAAGUGGAAGUUCGCGGCAAUAACAGGUCUGUGAUGCCCUUAGAUGUUCUGGGCCGCAC
This 790-nucleotide ribosomal RNA is filed under the name Emiliania huxleyi. RNAcentral's name for it is "SSU rRNA". It matches the Rfam family "Eukaryotic small subunit ribosomal RNA", at positions 677 to 1492 of the family's 1831-position model. Lineage: Eukaryota; Haptophyta; Isochrysidales; Noelaerhabdaceae. The record is from RNAcentral.